UGUUUUCACUCUGUGGAGUUUGUGUUCUUGGGAGUAAUGGUGGUGGAUUGGGGGAUAGGACAGGCGAGCUCGUCGUCGUUGAUCUCGUCUCGCCGCCGGGGAUUGAUGGGACCUUUUUGAGGUGGAUUAAAGCAGAGCUAUAGGAUUUUGUUGUGUCUCCUGGGCAGAUCUGUAGGAUUUACCGAUAGGAUGAUAGUUUGAUAUGCUCCAUUUCCGCAUGCUUCUGUAGUUGUGUACCUUAUCUCCAUCGCUAUGCCAUUACAACUCAUUGUAGGAACUUUUGCCAAACCUUUUAGCUAUUCCCGUUAAUCUUGUGAUUAAAGCUGCUACCUUUACCCACCAAAGCUGCCUCCUUUGGCUGCAUGCUUCCAUCAUGGCCUCUGGCCCCUCCAUGUUGGGAUUCGUCUUUCAACGCCUCAGGACGAAAUGGCCGAUUACUCUUCUUCUUUUUUUUUUCUGAAACUCAGCGCUAUGGGCACGAGUCACGACGCUGACAAACCGACGACCUUACACACGGACAACAUUUCAAGAAAAGAAAAAGUUUGAUUCUUGUGCGGUCGUCGUUUCUGGCAUUAAAAAAAAAUCUCUCUCUCUUUUUUUUUCGCCUAUGGAACCUAGCCGGCGGCAGGGCACGGCAUAUGCUUCUCGUGCUCCCGGUGGUGUGGUUGGAAAUGCCACUGAUUUUGUAGAAAAGAAAGCG
Molecule: small RNA, 700 nt
Filed under: Oryza sativa Japonica Group (Japanese rice)
Lineage: Eukaryota; Viridiplantae; Streptophyta; Magnoliopsida; Poales; Poaceae
Description: sRNA Os02g0716600
Source: RNAcentral